This 301-nucleotide ribosomal RNA is filed under the name uncultured bacterium. RNAcentral describes it as "partial 16S ribosomal RNA". It matches the Rfam family "Bacterial small subunit ribosomal RNA", at positions 509 to 807 of the family's 1533-position model. The record is from RNAcentral.
CAGCAGCCGCGGGAAUACAGAGGGUGCAAGCGUUAAUCGGAAUUACUGGGCGUAAAGCGCGCGUAGGUGGUUUGUUAAGUUGGAUGUGAAAGCCCCGGGCUCAACCUGGGAACUGCAUCCAAAACUGGCAAGCUAGAGUACGGUAGAGGGUGGUGGAAUUUCCUGUGUAGCGGUGAAAUGCGUAGAUAUAGGAAGGAACACCAGUGGCGAAGGCGACCACCUGGACUGAUACUGACACUGAGGUGCGAAAGCGUGGGGAGCAAACAGGAUUAGAUACCCGGGUAGUCCCUGUCUCUUAUAC